CCUACGGGAGGCAGCAGUGAGGAAUAUUGGUCAAUGGGCGCGAGCCUGAACCAGCCAAGUCGCGUGAGGGAAGACGGUCCUAUGGAUUGUAAACCUCUUUUGUCGGGGAGCAAAAGACGCCACGCGUGGCGUUCCGAGAGUACCCGAAGAAAAAGCAUCGGCUAACUCCGUGCCAGCAGCCGCGGUAAUACGGAGGAUGCGAGCGUUAUCCGGAUUUAUUGGGUUUAAAGGGUGCGCAGGCGGAAGGUCAAGUCAGCGGUAAAAGUGAGAGGCUCAACCUCUUCGAGCCGUUGAAACUGGUUUUCUUGAGUGAGCGAGAAGUAUGCGGAAUGCGUGGUGUAGCGGUGAAAUGCAUAGAUAUCACGCAGAACUCCGAUUGCGAAGGCAGCAUACCGGCGCUCAACUGACGCUCAUGCACGAAAGUGUGGGUAUCGAACAGGAUUAGAUACCCCAGUAGUC
This 459-nucleotide ribosomal RNA is filed under the name uncultured bacterium. Its description in RNAcentral is "partial 16S ribosomal RNA". It matches the Rfam family "Bacterial small subunit ribosomal RNA", at positions 338 to 795 of the family's 1533-position model. The record is from RNAcentral.